CGGGGUGCACCAGGCGCGAAAACUUUACAAUGCCGGCAACGGCGAUAAGGGGACCUCGAGUGCCAGGUUACAAAUCUGGCUGUCGUGAUGCCUAAAAAGCAUUGCAUAGCAAGGGCCGGGCAAGACCGGUGCCAGCCGCCGCGGUAACACCGGCGGCUCGAGUGGUAACCGUUAUUAUUGGGUCUAGAGGGUCUGUAGCCGGCCGGAUAAGUCUCUUGGGAAAUCCAGCAGCUCAACUGUUGGGCUUUCAGGGGAUACUGUCUGGCUCGAGGCCGGGAGAGGUGAGAGGUACUCCAGGGGUAGGGGUGAAAUCUUGUAAUCCUUGAAGGACCACCAGUGGCGAAGGCGUCUCACCAGAACGGACCUGACGGCAAGGGACGAAAGCUAGGGGCACGAACCGGAUUAGAUACCCGGGUAGUCCUAGCCGUAAACGAUACUCGCUAGGUGUCGGCCACGGUGCGACCGUUGUCGGUGCCGUAGGGAAGCCGUGAAGCGAGCCACCUGGGAAGUACGGCCGCAAGGCUGAAACUUAAAGGAAUUGGCGGGGGAGCACAAGGGCGAAUCGC
RNAcentral lists this ribosomal RNA (566 nucleotides) under uncultured archaeon. Its description in RNAcentral is "bacterial SSU rRNA". It matches the Rfam family "Archaeal small subunit ribosomal RNA", at positions 326 to 896 of the family's 1478-position model. The record is from RNAcentral.